RNAcentral lists this long non-coding RNA (1311 nucleotides) under Micromonas pusilla. Its description in RNAcentral is "long non-coding RNA (MPUS_LNC000203)". The record is from RNAcentral. Lineage: Eukaryota; Viridiplantae; Chlorophyta; Mamiellophyceae; Mamiellales; Mamiellaceae.
CUCUAUGCACCAAACUCUCCCCCAACCCUCCGCCCCCCACCCCCCAAAUUUUUCAGUGCACCAUGCACCAUGCACUAAUUUCUGAUCAGGUUUCAAAUGUUCUAUGUUUGAAAGUACAAUUAGCCUCUUAGGUUCGAAUUUUCAUCGUAUAAACAAGUGAUUUGAUAGCAAUAUUGAACUCAUCGCUCGCCUUCGGCGGCUCUUCGCCCCAUGAGCUCAUGUUGCAUCAUCACAUCUGAUCGAAAGCCACGCGGGCUUCGCCCGCGUGAUAUUCGCGCGGUCGCCGUGCCCUUAAACCCUAAACGUUAAAACCAACCCUACUACUACGACCUCGGGUGGAACUACGUUUUUCAAUAUCCUAAAACUCGCGGCCACCGUUUCGCCACCCUCGCGACUAUGGUGCUCGAUCCCUAGCUAGGUUUACGGUUGCGCGUUCGCGUCGGAGCGAGCUCGGCGUCGCUCUAAACCCUAAACCUAACUAGGGUUCGAGGACCCUAGCCGCGAGGGGGCGAAACGGGGCCGCUCGGGGGGUGGGGCGUCUUGUCCGAGCUCUCGGCGCGUCCGUAAUGGCGGCGACUAGCGACAGUGUGCUAUAAGAUAGCUAACGUAUUUUUUAGUGGUGUCCGAAGGAGUUAGACACUACAUUUUUCCUCGCUCCGCUCGGUUAGUCUCACUCGCUGCGCUCGAUCGGAGCUUCGCUGCGGUGAUACGUCCAACUCAUGGCCGAUGCAGCAGACGGGACCGGUAGCGCACAAGGAUCGUCGAUUUCUUCGUACGUAUCGCGACGCCGAGCUCGCUCCGACGCGAACGCGUAACCCUAAACCUAACUAGGGUUCGAGGACCCUAGCCGCGAGGGGGCGAAACGGGGCCGCUCGGGGGGUGGGGCACAUGUCCGAUCGCUUGAGCAUAACACACUCAGUAUAUCUCUCAAGGAUGUUAGCACCUGCUCGUACAAACAUUUAUAAAAAUACGAAAAAUUGAAAUGGGAAGUACACAGUGGGGAGAAGAGAUGGGAUUGCUCGGUUAACUCACAUAUAUUAACGUGUCCAAGAAAUUGUCGGUGGUUAGAUAAGUUAGAACAGUAAGGCUUCAUAACUUCAGAAGGAUUCGGAGUAUCGAAUAGGUCACUGACUCUUCGUUUCUUGUGCGGUUCUUCCAUGACGAUGCGUUGUCUCGUAAAUGGCUAGCGUGGAGGAAGACGGGCACUAGCAGCAGACAACGCGAAAGGAGUGAAGAGAGAGGAGCGCGCUUGAAAAGAAAGGUGGAGGCGGGAGGGGGGGGGGGCAAGAAACUCCGCACGAGCCAUGAACG